Long non-coding RNA from Drosophila miranda, 660 nucleotides. RefSeq lists it as uncharacterized. The record is from RefSeq and is a predicted model, not a curated record. NCBI's taxonomy places the organism in Eukaryota, Metazoa, Arthropoda, Insecta, Diptera, Drosophilidae. The transcript is spliced from 2 exons.
ACCCGCCACACCCCAAAAUGAACAAAGACUGUUUAAACCGAAAUUUGUAAUGUUUAAUCGCACUCCCAUGGAGGAGAGCGAACCAGAGAGAGGAGGCCUUAUCUAUUGCCUAUGCUAUUGAUUGCUAUUCUAUGUAUGACAGCUAUAGAAAAAUACCAGUGUCUUCGUAAUUUAUGAAAUAAAUCAUUUAAAUGGAUUUACUAUUAUACCUACUAUAACUAACCCUUAUUGAUAAUCACCUGUAUAGACAGCCGUACCGUAUGCCUAGGACAUACCCAUCGUGUAUUUUAUAAUUUUGUUUCGCUUGUGAUAUUAUUUAUUAUUUUGAUUGCCCGAGUUUUAAGCGUAACAUAAAACACACACACUCUCACAUUAUUCAUUCUGUAAAUAGCCCAUAGUUUAGCUCUAACUAAACCACAAGUCAUUUUGUAAGUCUAUCCACACCCAACACUACGAUCCACGAAAUGGACUUCUGUAGAGUGGGGUGGGAGUGGGUACCAUCGAUGGAUAUUUUGAUAAUGGAUAAUCUACUCGUACUAUUUGUUUGAAAUUGAAAUUUAUUUGACUUAUGAUUAAUUGGCUUUGACGAAAUCAUUGGAUUACAAUUGGAUUAAAUUGAAGCCGGAUGUUAAUUAAAUGAUGCAUUAUUCAAAGUAUAUA